RNAcentral lists this long non-coding RNA (356 nucleotides) under Homo sapiens (human). RNAcentral's name for it is "HSALNT0077487". Lineage: Eukaryota; Metazoa; Chordata; Mammalia; Primates; Hominidae. The record is from RNAcentral.
CCCUGCACCUCCUGUUACGCCAAACGAAAGCACAACAGCAGCUACGUGGAAUUACCUUGAGAUUCAGUCUCAAAGGUAAUUGACAAAUUACCUGAGUCUCAAAGACAGCAAAUACAUGCAGAGAAUUUUCCUUCUUUUUAAUGGCUACCCUAUGAAGAAGUAUCACAAUGACCUCAAUCAAUACUCAACUGAAUAUUUUGCAUUUCUAGACUCUUGAAGAAACACAGUGCAUGGGGAGGUAGGAGAUGCUCUGCAUUGUAAUAUUGUAAAUUUGAUUCCCUUUGAAUAGUGGCUGUCAUGUUUGGAACACUUUUUUUGUAAACUUCAUAAUUUUUAUAUCUAUUUGGAUAUUUACG